Long non-coding RNA from Passer domesticus (house sparrow), 597 nucleotides. RefSeq lists it as uncharacterized. The transcript is spliced from 3 exons. Lineage: Eukaryota; Metazoa; Chordata; Aves; Passeriformes; Passeridae. The record is from RefSeq and is a predicted model, not a curated record.
AAUUUGAGGGGUGGUGAAUCUGUGGAGAAAAGGGAGGGGGAGGAGGAAGGUAUCUGGAAGGUGUUCAUUCUUAGCUUGGUAUGUGUUCCUUUCUAGAUUUGUAAUAAAUAAAGUGUUGUGUUUUUCCCUCCAUCCCCGAAUGGGAGCCUGCUUUGUUCUGUUCCUGGGUCACAUCUCACAGCAACCAUUUUGGAAAUAUACCCUUCAUGGGGGCCCUGGCAUUGUGCCAGGGCCAAACCAUGACAGUUACAUACAUUAUGCUCUGACUCAGCAACAGUCAUAUUACACUGAGUCUGUCAGGUCAAGUUGGCAUCACUUCCAGUCUCUGUUCCUGUUGACUUCUGUAUAUUCAGGAACACAAGGGACCAGGAUGGAAGAAAAAGUAGAGUAGAUAACAGGAUCCUACUAUUUGUGAUUUAAAGCUACAUUUCUGUUUCAGGGGUUAAAGCAGACCAGUUAUAAUUUUUGCCAGAACAGGAUUAAUAGCUUGAGUUCACACAUCCAGCAUGGGGUUGCUUUUGUCAUCACAGAACAACACAUGAGAGGUUGUCACUCUUCAGACUCUUCAGACUCUUUAGACAUACUGUGAAGAAGUGC